This 224-nucleotide unclassified non-coding RNA is filed under the name uncultured Gammaproteobacteria bacterium. RNAcentral describes it as "contains 16S-23S intergenic spacer region". Lineage: Bacteria; Pseudomonadati; Pseudomonadota; Gammaproteobacteria. The record is from RNAcentral.
UCCGGUUUGUCACCGGCAGUCUCAUUAGAGUGCCCAACUAAAUGUAGCAACUAAUGACAAGGGUUGCGCUCGUUGCGGGACUUAACCCAACAUCUCACGACACGAGCUGACGACAGCCAUGCAGCACCUGUGUUCCGAUUCCCUUUCGGGCACACCCACCUCUCAGCGGGCUCUCGGACAUGUCAAGGGUAGGUAAGGUGGGGAUGACGUGUGAGAGUACGUCC